RNAcentral lists this ribosomal RNA (406 nucleotides) under uncultured bacterium. RNAcentral describes it as "bacterial SSU rRNA". It matches the Rfam family "Bacterial small subunit ribosomal RNA", at positions 28 to 434 of the family's 1533-position model. The record is from RNAcentral.
GACGAACGCUGGCGGCGUGCUUAACACAUGCAAGUCGAGCGGUAAGGCCCUUUUGGGGGUACACGAGCGGCGAACGGGUGAGUAACACGUGGGUGACCUGCCCUCAGCUCUGGGAUAAGCCUGGGAAACUGGGUCUAAUACUGGAUAUGACCUUUCCUCGCAUGGGGGUUGGGGUGGAAAGUUUUUCGGCUGGGGAGUGGGCCCGCGGCCUAUCAGCUUGUUGGUGGGGUGAUGGCCUACCAAGGCGACGACGGGUAGCCGGCCUGAGAGGGCGACCGGCCACACUGGGACUGAGACACGGCCCAGACUCCUACGGGAGGGCAGCAGUGGGGAAUAUUGCGCAAUGGGCGGAAGCCUGACGCAGCGACGCCGCGUGGGGGAUGACGGCCUUCGGUUGUUAACCGUA